GACGAACGCUGGCGGCGUGCUUAACACAUGCAAGUCGAACGGAAAGGCCCUGCUUUUGUGGGGUGCUCGAGUGGCGAACGGGUGAGUAACACGUGAGUAACCUGCCCUUGACUUUGGGAUAACUUCAGGAAACUGGGGCUAAUACCGGAUAGGAGCUCCUGCUGCAUGGUGGGGGUUGGAAAGUUUCGGCGGUUGGGGAUGGACUCGCGGCUUAUCAGCUUGUUGGUGGGGUAGUGGCUUACCAAGGCUUUGACGGGUAGCCGGCCUGAGAGGGUGACCGGCCACAUUGGGACUGAGAUACGGCCCAGACUCCUACGGGAGGCAGCAGUGGGGAAUAUUGCACAAUGGGCGGAAGCCUGAUGCAGCAACGCCGCGUGCGGGAUGACGGCCUUCGGGUUGUAAACCGCUUUCGCCUGUGACGAAGCGUGAGUGACGGUAAUGGGUAAAGAAGCACCGGCUAACUACGUGCCAGCAGCCGCGGUGAUACGUAGGGUGCGAGCGUUGUCCGGAUUUAUUGGGCGUAAAGGGCUCGUAGGUGGUUGAUCGCGUCGGAAGUGUAAUCUUGGGGCUUAACCCUGAGCGUGCUUUCGAUACGGGUUGACUUGAGGAAGGUAGGGGAGAAUGGAAUUCCUGGUGGAGCGGUGGAAUGCGCAGAUAUCAGGAGGAACACCAGUGGCGAAGGCGGUUCUCUGGGCCUUUCCGAACGCUGAGGAGCGAAAGCGUGGGGAGCGAACAGGCUUAGAUACCCUGGUAGUCCACGCUGUAAACGGUGGGUACUAGGUGUGGGGUCCAUUCCACGGGUUCCGCGCCGUAGCUAACGCUUUAAGUACCCCGCCUGGGGGAGUACGGCCGCAAGGCUAAAACUCAAAGGAAUUGACGGGGCCCCGCACAAGCGGCGGAGCAUGCGGAUUAAUUCGAUGCAACGCGUAGAACCUUACCUGGGUUUGACAUGGAUCGGGAGUGCUCAGAGAUGGGUGUGCCUCUUUUGGGGUCGGUUCACAGGUGGUGCAUGGCUGUCGUCAGCUCGUGUCGUGAGAUGUUGGGUUAAGUCCCGCAACGAGCGCAACCCUUGUUCACUGUUGCCAGCACGUUAUGGUGGGGACUCAGUGGAGACCGCCGGGGUCAACUCGGAGGAAGGUGGGGAUGACGUCAAGUCAUCAUGCCCCUUAUGUCCAGGGCUUCACGCAUGCUACAAUGGCUGGUACAGAGAGUGGCGAGCCUGUGAGGGUGAGCGAAUCUCGGAAAGCCGGUCUCAGUUCGGAUUGGGGUCUGCAACUCGACCUCAUGAAGUCGGAGUCGCUAGUAAUCGCAGAUCAGCAACGCUGCGGUGAAUACGUUCCCGGG
This 1344-nucleotide ribosomal RNA is filed under the name uncultured bacterium. Its description in RNAcentral is "16S ribosomal RNA". It matches the Rfam family "Bacterial small subunit ribosomal RNA", at positions 28 to 1378 of the family's 1533-position model. The record is from RNAcentral.